This 425-nucleotide unclassified non-coding RNA is filed under the name Hevea brasiliensis (rubber tree). The record is from RNAcentral. Lineage: Eukaryota; Viridiplantae; Streptophyta; Magnoliopsida; Malpighiales; Euphorbiaceae.
AUAUCAUUCCUCUUGAACCUACAAAGGAGACUGGUCAAGCUAAACGAGUGAAGGUUGAUGUUGAGUCCACUACUGAAAGUAGUGAACCUGGUGCAUCUGUGGUGCUGAUAUCCGAAGCACUUGCUAAGUUUUUUGGGACUGCUGGAAGGGAGAUGACCCAAUUGGAGGCAUCCAGGCUUGUUUGGGAGUAUAUAAAGGUUAACCAAUUGGAGGAUCCACUGAAUUCAAUGGUGAUAUUAUGUGAUGCAAAGCUCCGUGAACUUCUUGGAUGUGAAAGCAUUUCUGCAGUAGGGGUAGAAGAGAUGCUAGCACGGCAUCAUUUGUUCAAGAAGUCAUAAUUUUUGGCUAUGGUGCAAGGAAUGUUAUGUCACCACCACCCUUCUGAUGGUAGAAAAAGAUAGUGAAGAUCCUUUUUUUUUUUUUUU